GAUGAAGAACGUAGCGAAAUGCAAUAAGUAGUGUGAAUUGCAGAAUUCAGUGAAUCAUCGAAUCUUUGAACGCACAUUGCGCCCCUUGGUAUCCCGAGGGGCAUGCCUGUUCGAGCGUCAUUUCACCACUCAAGCCUGGCUUGGUGUUGGGCGACGUCCUCUUUGGGGACGCGCCUCGAAACGCUCGGCGGCGUGGCACCGGCUUUAAGCGUAGCAGAAUCUUUCGCUUUGGAAGUCGGGGCCCCGUCUGCCGGAAGACCUGCUCGCAAGGUUGACCUCGGAUCAGGCAGGGAUACCCGCUGAACUUAAGCAUAUCAAUAAGCGGAGGA
This 329-nucleotide unclassified non-coding RNA is filed under the name soil metagenome. RNAcentral describes it as "partial contains 5.8S ribosomal RNA, internal transcribed spacer 2, and large subunit ribosomal RNA". The stretch from base 1 to 120 matches the Rfam family "5.8S ribosomal RNA", at positions 35 to 154 of the family's 154-position model. The record is from RNAcentral.